AAACUAUUAUCCAUCGCACAUAUAUUUUAAAAUAAAGCAUAAUAUACAUUUUAAACAACAAGUGGCAGGAAAAAAAAAAAACUUCUUCGGUUUUCAUAGCCGGGAGCUCGCGGGAACCUAAUAAUAACUUUAAAGGCCCUGAAAGCUAUACAGAUCUGAGAUAUCACUGGAAGGUACAGAACUGCGAUGCGGAUCGUUGUCCCAGAUGUUUCGAAAAUGGCAGCUCUUGGUAGAAACUUCGCAGAUGAAGAUCGGGGAUAAGGAAGCUGAUGCGCCGGCUAUACUUCUAGCCUUGUCCUUGGCGAGGUCUUCGGGAUGGAAAGAAUUUCCCGAGGAAUUUCCAUCGAAUGGCCCAGAAUUAAGUUAUGCCCCAAUGGUCAGCAGCCAAAAAAACAAAUCAUUGAGAAACUAAGAUGUGCUACAUAUCAUGAAAUAAAUAUGAUAACCUUUAGGCUACAUUUGUAUCACAUGAUGGAGAGUCACUUGAUGUUAUCCAAUUUUGGGUAAUCUAUAUGGCAUUGUACUCCAAGAUACACUCCAUCAAGUGAUAAAGCUUGUAUACUAUAGACUGACUAUGUUAUAAAAAUACAUAUUUUCAAUUGCA
Molecule: long non-coding RNA, 604 nt
Organism: Armigeres subalbatus
Lineage: Eukaryota; Metazoa; Arthropoda; Insecta; Diptera; Culicidae
Exons: 3
Source: RefSeq, a predicted model, not a curated record